This is a long non-coding RNA of Carcharodon carcharias (great white shark), 2326 nucleotides long. RefSeq lists it as uncharacterized. The transcript is spliced from 2 exons. The record is from RefSeq and is a predicted model, not a curated record. Lineage: Eukaryota; Metazoa; Chordata; Chondrichthyes; Lamniformes; Lamnidae.
AUGCUGAGAAGAAAAUUUGGAGGACAAUGUAACAAUAGCUACAGCAAAGUAUGGACAAGUAUCACUAUGAGGAUAGACCAAAAAUAGGCGGUUCACAUUUUUAAAAGUAAGUUAGCAGUAGAAAAUAAACAGUGGUUAAAAUAAAUACAAGAGACACAGACUACAAGCUAGAAUUAGUCCAAUGAGCAGUGGAAAAGGACAAAGAAUGGAUAUAUCGAUUUGAAAUGCUUAAAGACAGCUAAAAGCAGAAGUCUAAGGAGCAGUGAUCCAAGUUCAAGGAGGAGAAUGAAAACUGCAGGUUCAAAGCGGAAGAAAAGAUGAAACAGCGACAGCAUGUAACCACUCCACAAAAAUCACAUGGUAGACCUUGAGGAGAAGCAGCAUCAACUUUGCAACUGAAAAUAAAGGGCAUAUCAACAACUACAUCAGUGAGUAAUGAAUAAAGCUAUGUACAAAGAAAGAAGCAAGCAGCAAAGUAUGAUAUACGCAGAACAUUUGGGGAAGAAAAGCUGCUGGAAGUAAUUUCCCAUUCACAUCAUUCUCUUCCACAUCUGAGAAGUUUCCACUGUUGGAGAAAUAAUGCUCUUUUGACUUGGAAGGAACCACAAUAACCGCAAACACUUACAAAAAUACCAGAGCUGUUGUACAACAAACAUGCCAGUUGAAAACAUCUCUUAAAUAUGAUGGAAAAUAAGCAAUAUUUCUCAAUGUCGCAACCACCUUGAGGAGAGUAUUAAAUAACAACUUCAGUAAAACCAGUGUGGGGCAGGGGAAAAUCAGCAACUUAACUAUUUCUAAUUAGAUUUGGAAUUAGCCAUCAUGGUUGAAUGCUAGUAUGAAAGCCCCAAGCACAAAGGCUACCUUGUAACAUAUUUUCAAACUAUUUCAAUAUAUUCCACUAUUCAGAAAGAAAACUAAAGAUUCAAGCUCUGACCUAAAAUAAUCUCAAAACUCAAGAUUUGUGAUUUACAGAGCGUCACCACUGCUCUUCAGAGCGGGGUGGGGGUCAGUUCAAUUUAUACAUAAAACAUUUCCAAAAAGCAUACCUGAAGCCAGGAAAGGAUUAGAUAUACUGGAAGGUUGUGCAGGCUUGGAUACCAGGGAAUCCAGAUUCACCAAAGCUGCAUUAGGGCCCAGAAAGGACUCUGGAGUUUUUCGAGCUGCAGUCUGCUUUGAUGGCACUGAACUAGUAAGCUGAGCAUCAAAUAAAUCUGGACUAAUUGAACCACUGGGUUUAGAGCUUCCUCCCAACAUGUCAGUCUCACCUGAAGUAAAAGUUGACAAACAUUUAACUCAAAAUUUAAAAAAACUUUAAGGCAAUUCUAUAAUGCAGAGUUUUCAAAUGCUGAAGGUAAUAUCUUGAAAUGUCUUUUUUUAUAUUGGUCUGUAUAACUUCCUGUGUAUAGUAACCUGAAUUAAUCCAAUACUACAUUCUUACUAUGAUACUAACAGUUUGCUGCAGAUAUUAAUAAUGCUGACAAAUACUACAUGCACUGUAAACUAACUACAGGAUCAACACAUUUAACCAUAAAAAUCACAAUCUUGUCCAACAUCCUCACACCUUUCAUAUUUUAACUUUUAUUUAUUGAUCAUGUAAACAUGGAAACAGCAUUUAUGGUUGGAAAGCUUUGCAGCACUGUUGCAUUCCUGCUAGCCACCUGAAGCAUCUUCCUAUGUAUUCUGCGCUUUUUUAAAAAAGGGUAGACAUAAAAAUCAUUUCAAUGGAAAGGUUUAACAAUCAUUAUGCUGGAUUUACAAAUUCUGUGAAAGUAUCAGCCUAAAAAAAUUCAAAAAAUACUAUAAAAUAUGUCCUGUUAAUUGGAUGUACGCAUGUGCCUUAUGCAAAAGGAACAUAACUUAUGUGUUACAGAUGAGUCAGGUGCUAAGGAUACCAAGAUAACUUUGGGUUAAAAUUUGAUAAUUGUUAUCUUCCAAAAAUUUUAAGAACCCAGUAUAAAUGAUGAGAGGCCAACUAGAUUACUGCAUGCCAGGUUAUAUGAAAACAUCACCAUUAUCCUUCCAUUCACAUACUCCCGCAUUAAAAUGAUUUAAUUAAGGAACAUAGAUCUUAAAAAGUUGAUUAAAAAGAAAUAUUAACUUUGGUUUUUAAAAAAUGGCACUGAAUUUAAGGCUGCAUUUCAAUCCUGGGGUUCUGACUUUUGGAAAUUACUUAAUAUUAAAAUUGUCAAAAGAAAAUUGUAAGCAUUUGAGUAAAUUACAGCCUUGGAAAUUACCGAACGUAAAAUGGAUGUUCAACAGCAUGAAGUUGAAUAUCAGUUAACUCUCAAAUAAAGGACACAAAAUAACUCAAGCACUGCAGCUACAA